Transfer RNA from Kwoniella mangroviensis CBS 10435, 91 nucleotides. It matches the Rfam family "tRNA". From Rfam's summary of the family: Transfer RNA (tRNA) molecules are approximately 80 nucleotides in length. Their secondary structure includes four short double-helical elements and three loops (D, anti-codon, and T loops). Further hydrogen bonds mediate the characteristic L-shaped molecular structure. tRNAs have two regions of fundamental functional importance: the anti-codon, which is responsible for specific mRNA codon recognition, and the 3' end, to which the tRNAs corresponding amino acid is attached (by aminoacyl-tRNA synthetases). tRNAs cope with the degeneracy of the genetic code in two manners: having more than one tRNA (with a specific anti-codon) for a particular amino acid; and 'wobble' base-pairing, i.e. permitting non-standard base-pairing at the 3rd anti-codon position. The record is from Rfam. NCBI's taxonomy places the organism in Eukaryota, Fungi, Basidiomycota, Tremellomycetes, Tremellales, Cryptococcaceae.
GUCCCCGUAGCACAGUGGUAGUGCGCCUGACUACGACUAGAUCUAUUUUAUCGGCAUCAGGAGGUCGUGCGUUCGAACCGCAUCUGGGAUU